Molecule: ribosomal RNA, 267 nt
Filed under: uncultured Rubrobacter sp.
Lineage: Bacteria; Bacillati; Actinomycetota; Rubrobacteria; Rubrobacterales; Rubrobacteraceae
Description: partial 16S ribosomal RNA
Rfam family: Bacterial small subunit ribosomal RNA
Source: RNAcentral
AGCUUCGGCCAUCCGGCGAGGGAUGAGCCCGCGGUCCAUUAGCUAGUUGGUGGGGUAACGGCCUACCAAGGCGACGAUGGAUAGCUGGUCUGAGAGGAUGAUCAGCCACACUGGGACUGAGACACGGCCCAGACUCCUACGGGAGGCAGCAGUCGGGAAUCUUGCGCAAUGGGCGAAAGCCUGACGCAGCAACACCGUGUGGGCGACGAAGGCCUUCGGGUCGUAAAGCCCUGUUGUUGGGGACGAAGGGCGAAGGGUUAAUAGCCC